This 164-nucleotide non-coding RNA is filed under the name human gut metagenome. RNAcentral describes it as "Lysine riboswitch". It matches the Rfam family "Lysine riboswitch aptamer". Rfam says of the family: Riboswitches are metabolite binding domains within certain messenger RNAs that serve as precision sensors for their corresponding targets. Allosteric rearrangement of mRNA structure is mediated by ligand binding, and this results in modulation of gene expression. The record is from RNAcentral.
GUAGUAGAGGUGCGAUUAAAUAAGAGUAUUUCCAUGGAGAAGGGGUUUGAUGAUGUGGAUUGAAAGGAUUUGUCGCCGAAGUUUCAAUAUUUCCCAAAAUGUUGAUUCUGGUUUAACAUUGAAAAAAUGUUAGAUUGUCACCAGAUAUUGGUGGAGAGCUAUCU